This 253-nucleotide ribosomal RNA is filed under the name uncultured bacterium. Its description in RNAcentral is "partial 16S ribosomal RNA". It matches the Rfam family "Bacterial small subunit ribosomal RNA", at positions 524 to 776 of the family's 1533-position model. The record is from RNAcentral.
UACGAAGGGGGCGAGCGUUGUUCGGAUUUACUGGGCGUAAAGGGCGCGCAGGCGGUUCUGUUUGUCGAGUGUGAAAGCCCCGGGCUCAACCUGGGAACUGCGCUCGAAACGGCGGAACUAGAGUUCGGGAGAGGAGAGUGGAAUUCCUGGUGUAGCGGUGAAAUGCGUAGAUAUCAGGAGGAACACCUGUGGUGUAGACGGCUUUCUGGACCGUAGCUGACGCUGAGACACGAAAGCGUGGGUAGCAAACAGG